GUUUUAAUAGUUUAACAAAAACAUUGGUCUUGUAAAUCAAAAAUAAAAUAUCUUAUUUUUUAAAACA
RNAcentral lists this transfer RNA (67 nucleotides) under Simulium bidentatum. RNAcentral describes it as "tRNA-Thr". It matches the Rfam family "tRNA". Rfam says of the family: Transfer RNA (tRNA) molecules are approximately 80 nucleotides in length. Their secondary structure includes four short double-helical elements and three loops (D, anti-codon, and T loops). Further hydrogen bonds mediate the characteristic L-shaped molecular structure. tRNAs have two regions of fundamental functional importance: the anti-codon, which is responsible for specific mRNA codon recognition, and the 3' end, to which the tRNAs corresponding amino acid is attached (by aminoacyl-tRNA synthetases). tRNAs cope with the degeneracy of the genetic code in two manners: having more than one tRNA (with a specific anti-codon) for a particular amino acid; and 'wobble' base-pairing, i.e. permitting non-standard base-pairing at the 3rd anti-codon position. The record is from RNAcentral. RNAcentral also lists the same sequence under 2 other names. Lineage: Eukaryota; Metazoa; Arthropoda; Insecta; Diptera; Simuliidae.